UGGGGAAUAUUGCACAAUGGGGGAAACCCUGAUGCAGCGACGCCGCGUGAGCGAAGAAGGUUUUCGAAUCGUAAAGUUCUUUUAUAUGGGAAGAUAAUGACGGUACCAUAAGAAAAAGCCCCGGCUAACUACGUGCCAGCAGCCGCGGUAAUACGUAGGGGGCUAGCGUUGUCCGGAAUCACUGGGCGUAAAGGGUUCGCAGGCGGAAAUGCAAGUCAGGUGUAAAAGGCAGUAGCUUAACUACUGUAAGCAUUUGAAACUGCAUAUCUUGAGAAGAGUAGAGGUAAGUGGAAUUUUUAGUGUAGCGGUGAAAUGCGUAGAUAUUAAAAAGAAUACCGGUGGCGAAGGCGACUUACUGGGCUCAUUCUGACGCUGAGGAACGAAAGCGUGGGUAGCAAACAGG
RNAcentral lists this ribosomal RNA (403 nucleotides) under Fusobacteriota bacterium. RNAcentral describes it as "Fusobacteria bacterium partial 16S ribosomal RNA". It matches the Rfam family "Bacterial small subunit ribosomal RNA", at positions 355 to 776 of the family's 1533-position model. The record is from RNAcentral. Lineage: Bacteria; Fusobacteriati; Fusobacteriota.